UAGGGAAUCUUCCGCAAUGGACGCAAGUCUGACGGAGCAACGCCGCGUGAGUGAAGAAGGAUUUCGGUUCGUAAAGCUCUGUUGUUAAGGAAGAACGAGUGUGAGAAUGGAAAGUUCAUACUGUGACGGUACUUAACCAGAAAGGGACGGCUAACUACGUGCCAGCAGCCGCGGUAAUACGUAGGUCCCGAGCGUUGUCCGGAUUUAUUGGGCGUAAAGCGAGCGCAGGCGGUUAGAUAAGUCUGAAGUUAAAGGCAGUGGCUCAACCAUUGUAGGCUUUGGAAACUGUUUAACUUGAGUGCAGAAGGGGAGAGUGGAAUUCCAUGUGUAGCGGUGAAAUGCGUAGAUAUAUGGAGGAACACCGGUGGCGAAAGCGGCUCUCUGGUCUGUAACUGACGCUGAGGCUCGAAAGCGUGGGGAGCGAACAGG
RNAcentral lists this ribosomal RNA (429 nucleotides) under Bacteroidota bacterium. Its description in RNAcentral is "Bacteroidetes bacterium partial 16S ribosomal RNA". It matches the Rfam family "Bacterial small subunit ribosomal RNA", at positions 355 to 776 of the family's 1533-position model. Lineage: Bacteria; Pseudomonadati; Bacteroidota. The record is from RNAcentral.